This 832-nucleotide ribosomal RNA is filed under the name uncultured soil archaeon. RNAcentral's name for it is "bacterial SSU rRNA". It matches the Rfam family "Archaeal small subunit ribosomal RNA", at positions 24 to 859 of the family's 1478-position model. The record is from RNAcentral.
CCACUGCUAUCGUAAUUCGAUUAAGACAUGCGAGUCGAGAGUCGUAAGGACUCGGCGGACCGCUCAGUAACACGCGGAUAACAUGCCCUAAGGUGGAGGAUAAUCUCGGGAAACUGAGAAUAAUACUCCAUAGAUCUAGAAUGCUGGAAUGCUUUUAGGUCGAAAACUCCCGGUGCUUUAGGAUUGGUCUGCGGCGUAUCAGGUUGUAGUGGGUGUAACGGACCCACUAGCCGAUGACGCGUAUGGGCCUUGAGAGAGGAAGCCCAGAGAUGGACUCUGAGACAUGAGUCCAGGCCCUACGGGGCGCAGCAGUCGCGAAAACUUCACAAUGGGGGCAACCCCGAUGAGGGAAUUCCAAGUGCUAGCACUUUUUGUGUUAGCUGUUCUUUUGUCUAAAAAACAAGAGAAGUAAGGGCCGGGUAAGACGGGUGCCAGCCGCCGCGGUAAUACCCGCGGCCCGAGUGGUGGUCGAUAUUAUUGAGCCUAAAACGUUCGUAGCCGGUCUUGUAAAUCCUUGGGUAAAUCGGCCAGCUUAACUGUCCGAAGUCCGGGGAGACUGCAAGACUUGGGGUCGGGAGAGGUCAGAGGUACUUCUGGGGUAGGGGUAAAAUCCUGUAAUCCUAGAAGGACCACCGGUGGCGAAGGCGUCUGACUAGAACGAAUUCGACGGUGAGGAACGAAGCCCUGGGGCGCAAACGGGAUUAGAUACCCCGGUAGUCCAGGGUGUAAACGCUGCGGGCUUGGUGUUGGGGGUCCUUAGUGGGCGCCCAGUGCCGGAGAGAAGUUGUUAAGCCUGCUGCUUGGGGAGUACGUCCGCAAGGAUGAAACUUAA